GCCGGGUGCGGUGGCAUGUGCCUGUAAUCCAAGUCACUGGGAGGCUGAGGUUGGUGGAUCAAGUGAGCUGAGGAGCUCUGGGCUGCAGCACACUAUGUUGAACGGGUGUCCACGCUAAGUUCGGUAUCGAUAUGGUGUUCCAGGGGGAGCCCGGGACCACCAGGUUGUCUAAGGAGGGGUGAACCGGCCCAGGUCGGAAACGAAGCAGGUCAAAUCCCCCGUGCUGUCCAGUAGUUGGAUAAUACCUGUGAGUAGAUGCUGCAGUGCAGCCUUGGCAAAACAUCGAGACCUAAUCUUUA
Molecule: unclassified non-coding RNA, 299 nt
Organism: Oncorhynchus kisutch (coho salmon)
Lineage: Eukaryota; Metazoa; Chordata; Actinopteri; Salmoniformes; Salmonidae
Rfam family: Metazoan signal recognition particle RNA
About the family: The signal recognition particle (SRP) is a universally conserved ribonucleoprotein. It is involved in the co-translational targeting of proteins to membranes.
Source: Ensembl